Brachypodium distachyon (stiff brome) is the source of this 635-nucleotide long non-coding RNA. RefSeq lists it as uncharacterized. Lineage: Eukaryota; Viridiplantae; Streptophyta; Magnoliopsida; Poales; Poaceae. The transcript has 2 exons. The record is from RefSeq and is a predicted model, not a curated record.
AGUACCAUGUGCAGGCAAAACUGGUCUAGCAACAAGCUGCAGGGCGUCUAUUUCUGCCAGGAUUCCCCGUGUGCAAAGUUCAGAAUAGAAAUGGUACUCCCUACCGGCUCCGGUUGCGCUCCUGGCGGCGCCGAUCCUCCGCCUCCGGUCGCUCCCGCCGUUGACCAGCCUCAAGCAGCUCCAGAGGUCUCUCCGCCUGCAGUUGACCAGCCUCCUGCCGUCGAUCCUCAGCUCCCCGGUCCUGCCGCUCCAGUCGUGCCGCCACCGGAUGGUCCACCCCGCAGACCACCAGGAGGAGGUAUGGCUCCUGAUGUACCUGCUCGGAGCAGAACUCCCGAUAGACCAGGAGGACGUCGUCCCUAACAUCAAUUCCACGCUCCAAGUGGUAUUACGAUUUACGAUCGAAAUGCAACUUGCAUGUGGCUUGUUUAUGUACCUUAUUAUAGACAAUGUUAAUUAAUAGAGUACUGAAAAGAAGAAAAGUUGGCAUGGUCGCAACACUGUGGAACAUGUAUGUAUGUAUGUUGUAUCAAGUGCAUCAAAUAUGUGUGUAAGAUUUCUGGUAGUGUUGUGCUAUGUAAAUGAGAUAUCGUUUAAUAUGGUUUGUGAGGAAAAAACAUAAUUGUUGGAUUGGA